AGAUCAUGAUGUGGGCAAUUCCUUAGUAGGCCCUUGUAUCUCUCCCAUGCCUCAUAAAGGGACUCUCCGGCUUGUUGUUCAAAGUUGGCAACAACUUUCUUCAACUU
This is a small nucleolar RNA of Lactuca sativa (garden lettuce), 107 nucleotides long. The record is from RefSeq and is a predicted model, not a curated record. Lineage: Eukaryota; Viridiplantae; Streptophyta; Magnoliopsida; Asterales; Asteraceae.